Molecule: ribosomal RNA, 562 nt
Filed under: Burkholderia sp.
Lineage: Bacteria; Pseudomonadati; Pseudomonadota; Betaproteobacteria; Burkholderiales; Burkholderiaceae
Description: bacterial SSU rRNA
Rfam family: Bacterial small subunit ribosomal RNA
Source: RNAcentral
AGCGGGGGAUCUUCGGGCCUCGCGCUAUAGGGUUGGCCGAUGGCUGAUUAGCUAGUUGGUGGGGUAAAGGCCUACCAAGGCGACGAUCAGUAGCUGGUCUGAGAGGACGACCAGCCACACUGGGACUGAGACACGGCCCAGACUCCUACGGGAGGCAGCAGUGGGGAAUUUUGGACAAUGGGCGAAAGCCUGAUCCAGCAAUGCCGCGUGUGUGAAGAAGGCCUUCGGGUUGUAAAGCACUUUUGUCCGGAAAGAAAUCCUUGGCUCUAAUACAGCCGGGGGAUGACGGUACCGGAAGAAUAAGCACCGGCUAACUACGUGCCAGCAGCCGCGGUAAUACGUAGGGUGCGAGCGUUAAUCGGAAUUACUGGGCGUAAAGCGUGCGCAGGCGGUUUGCUAAGACCGAUGUGAAAUCCCCGGGCUCAACCUGGGAACUGCAUUGGUGACUGGCAGGCUAGAGUAUGGCAGAGGGGGGUAGAAUUCCACGUGUAGCAGUGAAAUGCGUAGAGAUGUGGAGGAAUACCGAUGGCGAAGGCAGCCCCCUGGGCCAAUACUGACGCUC